RNAcentral lists this ribosomal RNA (1371 nucleotides) under uncultured bacterium. Its description in RNAcentral is "16S ribosomal RNA". It matches the Rfam family "Bacterial small subunit ribosomal RNA", at positions 28 to 1380 of the family's 1533-position model. The record is from RNAcentral.
GAUGAACGCUGGCGGCGUGCCUAAUACAUGCAAGUCGAGCGAACGGACGAGAAGCUUGCUUCUCUGAUGUUAGCGGCGGACGGGUGAGUAACACGUGGAUAACCUACCUAUAAGACUGGGAUAACUUCGGGAAACCGGAGCUAAUACCGGAUAAUAUUUUGAACCGCAUGGUUCAAAAGUGAAAGACGGUCUUGCUGUCACUUAUAGAUGGAUCCGCGCUGCAUUAGCUAGUUGGUAAGGUAACGGCUUACCAAGGCAACGAUGCAUAGCCGACCUGAGAGGGUGAUCGGCCACACUGGAACUGAGACACGGUCCAGACUCCUACGGGAGGCAGCAGUAGGGAAUCUUCCGCAAUGGGCGAAAGCCUGACGGAGCAACGCCGCGUGAGUGAUGAAGGUCUUCGGAUCGUAAAACUCUGUUAUUAGGGAAGAACAUAUGUGUAAGUAACUGUGCACAUCUUGACGGUACCUAAUCAGAAAGCCACGGCUAACUACGUGCCAGCAGCCGCGGUAAUACGUAGGUGGCAAGCGUUAUCCGGAAUUAUUGGGCGUAAAGCGCGCGUAGGCGGUUUUUUAAGUCUGAUGUGAAAGCCCACGGCUCAACCGUGGAGGGUCAUUGGAAACUGGAAAACUUGAGUGCAGAAGAGGAAAGUGGAAUUCCAUGUGUAGCGGUGAAAUGCGCAGAGAUAUGGAGGAACACCAGUGGCGAAGGCGACUUUCUGGUCUGUAACUGACGCUGAUGUGCGAAAGCGUGGGGAUCAAACAGGAUUAGAUACCCCGGUAGUCCACGCCGUAAACGAUGAGUGCUAAGUGUUAGGGGGUUUCCGCCCCUUAGUGCUGCAGCUAACGCAUUAAGCACUCCGCCUGGGGAGUACGACCGCAAGGUUGAAACUCAAAGGAAUUGACGGGGACCCGCACAAGCGGUGGAGCAUGUGGUUUAAUUCGAAGCAACGCGAAGAACCUUACCAAAUCUUGACAUCCUUUGACAACUCUAGAGAUAGAGCCUUCCCCUUCGGGGGACAAAGUGACAGGUGGUGCAUGGUUGUCGUCAGCUCGUGUCGUGAGAUGUUGGGUUAAGUCCCGCAACGAGCGCAACCCUUAAGCUUAGUUGCCAUCAUUAAGUUGGGCACUCUAAGUUGACUGCCGGUGACAAACCGGAGGAAGGUGGGGAUGACGUCAAAUCAUCAUGCCCCUUAUGAUUUGGGCUACACACGUGCUACAAUGGACAAUANCAAGGGCAGCGAAACCGCGAGGUCAAGCAAAUCCCAUAAAGUUGUUCUCAGUUCGGAUUGUAGUCUGCAACUCGACUACAUGAAGCUGGAAUCGCUAGNUAUCGUAGAUCAGCAUGCUACGGUGGAUACGUUCCCGGGUC